UAAACACGGCAAAAGAAGCCGCCGCGAUUCAAUUUCGCGCUUACGUGUUAAGCACUUGAUGAUGAAAACCAUACAAAUCCACAGUUUUCGGAUCCUCCCACACAAAUCAAACAGCAAUCCCAUUACUCCAUAGUACUUUACUUUUCAAUCAUUAGCUUAAUCACUGUAUCACUCAAUCGAGAGAGAGAGAGAGAGAGAGAGAGAGAGAGAGAGAGAGAGAGAGAGAGAGAGAGAAUGGAACCUCUAAUGGAGGAAGAAGAGUACAACUGGAGAGAAGUGAAGCUACCGUCGCUGAUACCGGUGGUGCCGGAGCCGGAGCUGGAGAGAGAAACCGGCGAGAGGCGCCGCGGCCGCGAUAUCCUCAUAGCAGUGGAUCACGGGCCCAACAGCAAGCACGCCUUCGAUUGGGCCCUGGUUCACCUAGCUAGGAUCGCAGACACCAUUCAUCUGAUCCACGCCGUCUCCAGUUUGAAGAACGGCCUUGUGUACGAGGCCGCGCAGGGGCUUAUGGAGAAGCUUGCGGUGGAGGCUUUUGAGGUCGCCAUGGUGAAGACAUUGGCUCGCAUAGUUGAAGGAGAUGCAGGAAAGGCAAUUUGCAAAGAAGCAGAAAGGUUAAAACCAGCAGCUGUAGUCAUGGGUACCAGAGGUAGAAGCUUAAUCCAAAGUGUACUGCAGGGAAGUGUCAGUGAGUAUUGCUUCCACAACUGUAAAACAGCACCCAUAAUCAUAGUUCCAGGAAAAGAAGCAGGAGAGGAGUCUGUGGUUUAGUCAAUCUGACGAAAGACAACAACAGAUUCCACAACUACACGGAACCUUGUUUCAUUAAACUCCAUACCGUAAAUGUUUUGCAAAUUUCCAUCCCAAGCUGUUGAGGUUUGGAUUUGCUGUAAUGUGAGAAAACUUUGGUUAGGAAAAAUGUGCCUAACAUAUUGACGGAGAUGCAAAAAACAAUAGAAGUGGAAGAAAUUACAUCGAAACAGGAUGAAUCGAGAAAUGUUUCGGGUAGCGAUAGAGGAGCGCUGGUAGUCCUUCGAAGUGCCAUAUCAGGAGUAUUGAUUCCCAUUUCCAACCCAGUACAUGAAGCUAGUUGUUGUAGUGGAUUAAACUGGAGGUAGGCAGGAUUAGUAAUUUCUGAUUGUACCCCAAUUGCGAAAUUGGACGUGCUUGCUGGAAAAACCUGUUGUG
RNA transcript from Rhododendron vialii, 1185 nucleotides. It is a transcript of the gene named universal stress protein PHOS32, with no coding region annotated. The transcript has 6 exons. Lineage: Eukaryota; Viridiplantae; Streptophyta; Magnoliopsida; Ericales; Ericaceae. The record is from RefSeq and is a predicted model, not a curated record.